GAAAGUAAGCAAGGGCAGACGGUGGAUGCCUUGGCUCUCGGAGGCGAUGAAGGACGUGAUAAGCUGCGAUAAGCUUGGGGUAGGUGCAAAUAACCUUUGAUCCCAAGAUUUCCGAAUGGGGCAACCCGGCUGGUAGAAGGCCAGUCAUUCCGUAAGGAAGGCGAACGUGGGGAACUGAAACAUCUAAGUACCCAUAGGAGAAGAAAACAAAAGUGAUUCCGCAAGUAGUGGCGAGCGAACGCGGAACAGCCCAAACCGAUGAUGUUUAGGCAUUGUCGGGGUAGUAGGACCACGUUGUGGCAAGAGAUUAAGGAAGUAGAACGUUUUGGAACAAACGGCCGUAGACGGUGAAAGCCCAGUAUACGACUCUUUAACGAAGCCUAGUGGAAUCCUGAGUAGCGCGGAGCACGAGAAAUUCUGUGUGAAUCAGCGGGGCCCAUCCCGUAAGGCUAAAUACUCCCGAGAGACCGAUAGCGAACCAGUACUGUGAAGGAAAGGUGAAAAGCACCUCGAACAGAGGAGUGAAAUAGUCCCUGAAACCGUCUGCCUACAAGCGGUCGGAGCAACGUAAGUUGUGACGGCGUGCCUUUUGCAUAAUGAACCUACGAGUUACUUUCUCCGGCAAGGUUAAGGGCUUCAGGCCCGGAGCCGAAGCGAAAGCGAGUCUUAAUAGGGCGUGAUAGUCGGAGUGAGUAGACGCGAAACCAAGUGAUCUACCCUUGGUCAGGAUGAAGGUUGGGUAACACCAACUGGAGGUCCGAAUGGGUAUACGUUGAAAAGUGUUCCAAUGAACUGAGGGUAGGGGUGAAAGGCUAAUCAAACUUGGAGAUAGCUCGUACUCCCCGAAAUGCAUUUAGGUGCAGCCUUUAUUUAGUAUAGCAAGAGGUAGAGCGACUGAUUGGAUGCGAGGGCUUCACCGCCUAUCAAGUCCAGAUAAACUCCGAAUGCGUGCUAUAUAUUGAUAAGGAGUGAGGGCGCGGGUGCUAAGGUCCGCGUCCGAGAGGAGAAGAAUCCAGACCAUCAGCUAAGGUCCCCAAAUAACAGUUAAGUUGAACUAACGAAGUCGGACUGCAGAGACAGCUAGGAUGUUGGCUUGGAAGCAGCCAUUCAUUUAAAGAGUGCGUAACAGCUCACUAGUCGAGGAGUCCGGCGUGGAUAAUACUCGGGCAUAAACUGUUUACCGAAGCUAUGGAUGUAGAAAUACAUGGUAGGGGAGCAUUCCAACGGCGUCGAAGGUGAAGGAUGACCUUUGCUGGAGCUUUUGGAAACGCAAAUGUAGGUAUAAGUAACGAUAAAGGAGGUGAGAAACCUCCUCGCCGAAAGACUAAGGUUUCCUGAUCAACGUUAAUCGGAUCAGGGUAAGUCGGGACCUAAGGUUAAGCCGAACGGCGAUACCGAUGGAAGAAUGGUUUAAUAUUCCCAUACUACUUUAUGGAGCGAUGUGGAGACGGAGAAGUGAAAGUCCUGCCAUCUGACGGAAUAGGUGGUUGAAGAGUGUAGAUGUAGAUUCCUGUAGGCAAAUCCGCAGGGAGAGUCGACCUUGAUAGUAUGCCGCGUGCUUGCACAAGGCAAAAUGGACGUAAUCAGGCUCCCAAGAAAAUCCGCUAAGCAUAUUCAUAAAGUACCCGUACCGUAAACGGACACACGUAGUUGGGUUGAAAAUACUGAGGCGCUCGAGUGAUUCACGGUUAAGGAACUAGGCAAAUUGACCCUGUAACUUCGGGAUAAAGGGUCCCUACUGAGAGGUAGGGCGCAGAGAAUAGGUCCAGGCAACUGUUUAACAAAAACACAUGGCUGUGCGAAAUAGAAAUAUGAAGUAUACAGCCUGACACCUGCCCGGUGCUGGAAGGUUAAGAGGAGAGCUCAUCGCAAGAGAAGGCUUGAAUUGAAGCCCCAGUAAACGGCGGCCGUAACUAUAACGGUCCUAAGGUAGCGAAAUUCCUUGUCGGGUAAGUUCCGACCUGCACGAAUGGUGUAAUGAUCUGGACACUGUCUCAAC
This 1999-nucleotide ribosomal RNA is filed under the name gut metagenome. RNAcentral's name for it is "bacterial LSU rRNA". It matches the Rfam family "Bacterial large subunit ribosomal RNA", at positions 1 to 2025 of the family's 2925-position model. The record is from RNAcentral.